Molecule: long non-coding RNA, 923 nt
Organism: Xiphophorus couchianus (Monterrey platyfish)
Lineage: Eukaryota; Metazoa; Chordata; Actinopteri; Cyprinodontiformes; Poeciliidae
Exons: 2
Source: RefSeq, a predicted model, not a curated record
UGAGCACAGACAAAGGAUCGCCUCCGUGUUAUCACAUGACUGUUGUGGUUGAUGGACAUGGUGGGGAGUGCAAUCCUGUAGUUGCACAGGGACUGGAUGAUGCAUUUGAUGAAGGGUCCGAACACAGAGUGCAUGCAAUGAAAUAAGAGCAAAUGAAAAAUACGUGCAAUGAAGGAUUAUCAGAUAAGAAGAUGGGGCUGGGGGAGGAUCCAACACUUGAUUUGAAAUUUACGAAGCCUGUGAGGUGACAUGGGACAUCAGACUGGCUCCAAAGAAACUAAUAUAUAAUUUCUCUACUAGCAUAGUAAAAAAACAACCAUCUUCCACUGUGAAGAGAGAAGUGCCUAUCCAAACGAGGUGGCUGUUAAUGUUAAUUCAAUAUUUAGAAGCAUGACCAACACGGACUGAACGGCUUCCUUCACUUCCUCCGCUUCCAUUGCUAAAGCAGCCUACAAUUCUAAAACAGUGUAGAAAACGACAGCCAAUCUGGUAGAAAUCCGACGAGAGAAAUUCAAGUGAACGGGAGAAAGGUGUGAAGCAGAUUUAAAUCAAGCGGAAUAGCACAGGAAGGCAAUGGCCAGGCUACUGAGAUAAACAGGCAGAUAUGGACACAUACAUUUUUUAAGCGUUCUUUUGCAGUUUACUAAUGUAAGUAAAAGAAAAAAAGCUAACCGGAAAGGGGAAAUAAACGUUGUAUUGUAUAACAGGAACAUUGUGCCUUAGGUUCCAUGCUGGCACUCUUAGCUCUAAAUGUGGAGAUAAAAUGCAGCCAAUUGCUCACAGUAUGAAGUCAUGAUGGAAAUGAAUGAUAGCAGCACAUUAGGCUGGUUAGACGAUGCAGCAGCUCAGCGUGUGUUCAGAGGAGCAGCGUGUUGAUCUGCUGAGCUUCUGGGAAGCUGAGUAGCAACUUCAGAGGACAAACA